AUUUUUUUUAUUUUUUAUUUUUUAUCUAGAGUAUAUAUUUUAUUUAUAUUUUCCCGUUGUCUUCCCUGAAGACCACUGCUUAUUGCUACUUUUUGUUUUACUUUAACAAAUCCUAAUCUCUCCCAACUCACCAUCACCUUCCCCUGCGAUCACAAUUUACAACUUCUAUACUAUUUUACUUGAACCAUGUAACUCAAUUUCUGAAUCUUAAAUUGCUUUAUCGAAAUUAAAUUCGCUUCUACUACUGCAGUCUUUGGUUAUGAGCCACAUUCA
This 273-nucleotide unclassified non-coding RNA is filed under the name Hevea brasiliensis (rubber tree). Lineage: Eukaryota; Viridiplantae; Streptophyta; Magnoliopsida; Malpighiales; Euphorbiaceae. The record is from RNAcentral.